UACGUAGGGUGCAAGCGUUGUCCGGAAUUAUUGGGCGUAAGGAGCUUGUAGGCGGUUUGUCGCGUCUGCUGUGAAAUUUCGGGGCUCAACCCCGAACUUGCAGUGGGUACGGGCAGACUAGAGUGUGGUAGGGGAGACUGGAAUUCCUGGUGUAGCGGUGAAAUGCGCAGAUAUCGGGAGGAACACCGGUGGCGAAGGCGGUUCUCUGGGCCUUACCUGACGCUGAGGAGCGAAAGCGUGGGGAGCGAACAGG
RNAcentral lists this ribosomal RNA (253 nucleotides) under uncultured bacterium. Its description in RNAcentral is "partial 16S ribosomal RNA". It matches the Rfam family "Bacterial small subunit ribosomal RNA", at positions 524 to 776 of the family's 1533-position model. The record is from RNAcentral.